Transfer RNA from Camelus ferus (Wild Bactrian camel), 72 nucleotides. It matches the Rfam family "tRNA". Rfam says of the family: Transfer RNA (tRNA) molecules are approximately 80 nucleotides in length. Their secondary structure includes four short double-helical elements and three loops (D, anti-codon, and T loops). Further hydrogen bonds mediate the characteristic L-shaped molecular structure. tRNAs have two regions of fundamental functional importance: the anti-codon, which is responsible for specific mRNA codon recognition, and the 3' end, to which the tRNAs corresponding amino acid is attached (by aminoacyl-tRNA synthetases). tRNAs cope with the degeneracy of the genetic code in two manners: having more than one tRNA (with a specific anti-codon) for a particular amino acid; and 'wobble' base-pairing, i.e. permitting non-standard base-pairing at the 3rd anti-codon position. The record is from Rfam. NCBI's taxonomy places the organism in Eukaryota, Metazoa, Chordata, Mammalia, Artiodactyla, Camelidae.
AAGGGUAUAGCUCAGUGGCAGAGUGUGUGUUUAGCAUGCAUGAGGGCCUGGGUUCAGUCCCCAGCACCUCAA